This 816-nucleotide long non-coding RNA is filed under the name Numida meleagris (helmeted guineafowl). Its description in RNAcentral is "lncRNA (ENSNMEG00000002128.1)". The record is from RNAcentral. Lineage: Eukaryota; Metazoa; Chordata; Aves; Galliformes; Numididae.
CUCCACCAGUGUCACCUCCAGCGCUGUCACCUCCACCAAUGUCACCCCCACUGGUGUCACCACCACCGAUGUCACCUCCACUGGUGUCACCUCCACCGAUGUCACCUCCACCGCUCCAGCCACCACCUCAGCAGGGACCUCCACUGUCUCUUCUGCUACUGAGGGAACCCCAACUGCUGUCACCUCCACCAGUGUCACCCCCACUGAUGUCACCUCCACUGCUCCUGCCACCACCUCAGGAGGAUCCUCUGCUGUCUCCUCUUCUACUGAGGGAACCACCACUGCUGUCACCUCCACUGGUGGCACCACCACAGAUGUCACCUCCACCAGUGUCACCCCCACAUCAUCUCCCACUGCCUCAGGAGCGUCCUCUACAGCCUCUUCCACAACCCUGCAAGGACCCUCCACCGCUGUCACCUCCACCGGUGUCACCUCCACCAGUGUCACCUCCACCAGUGUCACCUCCAUCAGUGUCACCUCCUCCGAUGUCACCUCCACCGCUCCUGCAACCAGCUCAGGAGGGACUUCCGCUGUCUCCUCUUCUACUGAGGGAACCACCACUACUGUUUCCUCCGCCGUUGUCACCUCCACUGGUGUCACCCCCACUGGUGUCACCACCACCGAUGUCACCUCCAUCAGUGUCACCCCCACCGAUGUCACCUCCACUGCUCCUGCCACCACCUCAACAGAGACCUCUGCUGUCUCCUCUACUACUGACGGAACCUCCACCAGUGUCACCUCCACUGGUGUCACCACCACUGGUGUCACCUCCUCUGAUGUCACCUCCACUGCUCCUGCCACCACCUCAGCAGGGAC